ACAUGCAAGUAGAACGCUGAAGCCUGGUGCUUGCACCGAGCGGAUGAGUUGCGAACGGGUGAGUAACGCGUAGGUAACCUGCCUCUUAGCGGGGGAUAACUAUUGGAAACGAUAGCUAAUACCGCAUAAAAGUCGAUAUCGCAUGAUAUUGAUUUGAAAGGUGCAAUUGCAUCACUAAGAGAUGGACCUGCGUUGUAUUAGCUAGUUGGUGAGGUAACGGCUCACCAAGGCGACGAUACAUAGCCGACCUGAGAGGGUGAUCGGCCACACUGGGACUGAGACACGGCCCAGACUCCUACGGGAGGCAGCAGUAGGGAAUCUUCGGCAAUGGGGGCAACCCUGACCGAGCAACGCCGCGUGAGUGAAGAAGGUUUUCGGAUCGUAAAGCUCUGUUGUAAGAGAAGAACGAGUGUGAGAGUGGAAAGUUCACACUGUGACGGUAACUUACCAGAAAGGGACGGCUAACUACGUGCCAGCAGCCGCGGUAAUACGUAGGUCCCGAGCGUUAUCCGGAUUUAUUGGGCGUAAAGCGAGCGCAGGCGGUUAGAUAAGUCUGAAGUUAAAGGCUGUGGCUUAACCAUAGUACGCUUUGGAAACUGUUUAACUUGAGUGCAGAAGGGGAGAGUGGAAUUCCAUGUGUAGCGGUGAAAUGCGUAGAUAUAUGGAGGAACACCGGUGGCGAAAGCGGCUCUCUGGUUCUGUAACUGACGCU
This 712-nucleotide ribosomal RNA is filed under the name uncultured Bacilli bacterium. RNAcentral's name for it is "bacterial SSU rRNA". It matches the Rfam family "Bacterial small subunit ribosomal RNA", at positions 53 to 747 of the family's 1533-position model. The record is from RNAcentral. Lineage: Bacteria; Bacillati; Bacillota; Bacilli.